This 445-nucleotide ribosomal RNA is filed under the name uncultured bacterium. RNAcentral's name for it is "partial 16S ribosomal RNA". It matches the Rfam family "Bacterial small subunit ribosomal RNA", at positions 354 to 796 of the family's 1533-position model. The record is from RNAcentral.
GUGAGGAAUAUUGGUCAAUGGGCGAGAGCCUGAGCCAGCCAAGUCGCGUGAAGGAAGAAGGAUCUAUGGUUCGUAAACUUCUUUUGCAGGGGAAUAAAGUGCGGGACGUGUCCUGUUUUGUAUGUACCCUGAGAAUAAGGAUCGGCUAACUCCGUGCCAGCAGCCGCGGUAAUACGGAGGAUCCGAGCGUUAUCCGGAUUUAUUGGGUUUAAAGGGUGCGUAGGUGGUUUGAUAAGUCAGCGGUGAAAGUUUGCAGCUUAACUGUAAAAAUGCCGUUGAAACUGUCGGACUUGAGUGUAAAUGAGGUAGGCGGAAUGCGUGGUGUAGCGGUGAAAUGCAUAGAUAUCACGCAGAACUCCGAUUGCGAAGGCAGCUUACUAAGCUACAACUGACACUGAAGCACGAAAGCGUGGGGAUCAAACAGGAUUAGAUACCCCGGUAGUCC